This 515-nucleotide ribosomal RNA is filed under the name Parnassius hannyngtoni. Its description in RNAcentral is "partial 16S rRNA". The stretch from base 388 to 515 matches the Rfam family "Bacterial large subunit ribosomal RNA", at positions 2473 to 2600 of the family's 2925-position model. The record is from RNAcentral. Lineage: Eukaryota; Metazoa; Arthropoda; Insecta; Lepidoptera; Papilionidae.
GUCUUUUUGAUUAAUAAUUUAAAGUCUAAUCUGCCCACUGAUAUUAUAUUAAAGGGCUGCAGUAUUUUGACUGUACAAAGGUAGCAUAAUCAUUAGUCUCUUAAUUGGUGACUUGUAUGAAAGAUUUAAUGAAAUAUAUACUGUCUCUUUUUAAUUUAUAAAAUUUAAUUUUUUAGUUAAAAAGCUAAAAUAUAUUUAAAAGACGAGAAGACCCUAUAGAGUUUUAUAUUUAUAUAAAUUAUAAUUUUUUAUAAGAUUUAAAAUUUUAAUAUAUUUAAAUAUUGUAUUGGGGUGAUAAAAAAAUUUAAAUAACUUUUUUUAUAAAUUAACAUUUAUAAAUGAAUAAAUGAUCCGUAAUUUACGAUUAUAAGAAAAAAUUACCUUAGGGAUAACAGCGUAAUUUUUUUUUUUAGUUCAAAUAAGAAUAAAAGUUUGCGACCUCGAUGUUGGAUUAAGAUAAAAUUUAAAUGCAAAAGUUUAAAAUUUUUGAUCUGUUCGAUCAUUAAAAUCUUACA